This 930-nucleotide ribosomal RNA is filed under the name uncultured bacterium. RNAcentral's name for it is "bacterial SSU rRNA". It matches the Rfam family "Bacterial small subunit ribosomal RNA", at positions 33 to 954 of the family's 1533-position model. The record is from RNAcentral.
ACGCUGGCGGCAGGCUUAACACAUGCAAGUCGAACGGUAACAGGGAUUAGCUUGCUAAUUUGCUGACGAGUGGCGGACGGGUGAGUAAUGCUUGGGAAUCUGGCUUAUGGAGGGGGAUAACUACGGGAAACUGUAGCUAAUACCGCGUAAUAUCGGAAGAUUAAAGGGUGGGACUUUCGAGCCACCUGCCAUAAGAUGAGCCCAAGUGGGGUUAGGUAGUUGGUUAGGUAAGGGCUGACCAAGCCGACGAUCUCUAGCUGGUCUGAGAGGAUGACCAGCCACACUGGAACUGAGACACGGUCCAGACUCCUACGGGAGGCAGCAGUGGGGAAUAUUGCACAAUGGGGGGAACCCUGAUGCAGCCAUGCCGCGUGAAUGAAGAAGGCCUUCGGGUUGUAAAGUUCUUUCGGUGACGAGGAAGGUUGAUAGGUUAAUAGCCUAUCAAAUUGACGUUAAUCACAGAAGAAGCACCGGCUAACUCCGUGCCAGCAGCCGCGGUAAUACGGGGGGUGCGAGCGUUAAUCGGAAUAACUGGGCGUAAAGGGCACGCAGGCGGUGACUUAAGUGAGAUGUGAAAGCCCCGAGCUUAACUUGGGAAUUGCAUUUCAUACUGGGUCGCUAGAGUACUUUAGGGAGGGGUAGAAUUCCACGUGUAGCGGUGAAAUGCGUAGAGAUGUGGAGGAAUACCGAAGGCGAAGGCAGCCCCUUGGGAAUGUACUGACGCUCAUGUGCGAAAGCGUGGGGAGCAAACAGGAUUAGAUACCCUGGUAGUCCACGCUGUAAACGAUGUCGAUUUGGGGAUUGGGCUUUGAGCUUGGUGCCCGUAGCUAACGUGAUAAAUCGACCGCCUGGGGAGUACGGCCGCAAGGUUAAAACUCAAAUGAAUUGACGGGGGCCCGCACAAGCGGUGGAGCAUGUGGUUUAAUUCGA